RNAcentral lists this ribosomal RNA (455 nucleotides) under Montenegrina skipetarica rugosa. RNAcentral describes it as "partial 16S ribosomal RNA". It matches the Rfam family "Bacterial large subunit ribosomal RNA", at positions 1811 to 2598 of the family's 2925-position model. Lineage: Eukaryota; Metazoa; Mollusca; Gastropoda; Stylommatophora; Clausiliidae. The record is from RNAcentral.
AAACAUAGCCGGUAGUUAUAUAAUUAUCGGUGAUACCUGCCCAGUGAAUUUUCAACGGCCGCAGUACUAUGACUGUGCAAAGGUAGCAUAAUCAUUUGGCUUUUAAUUGAAGUCUGGUAUGAAAGGAUAAACGUACUUUAGCUGUCUAUAUACAAAAUUUAUUAAAAUUAUUUAUAGGGUGAAAAUACCCUAAUUAAGAAAAAAAGACGAGAAGACCCUUAGAAUUUUAAGCAGAAGCCAACUCUGGUAGGGCGUGAUUUUUGUUGGGGCAACAUUUUUUCAGGAGAACAAAAGAUUUAUACUAAAACUACAAAACGAAUGUGUUUAAUAAAGUAAAAAUUACCUAAGGGAUAACAGCAUAAUUUUAAGUAAAGAUUGUGACCUCGAUGUUGGAUUAGGAACUAUUAAGGCUAGUCGUUUUAAUAUAAUAGGUUCUGUUCGAACUUUAUUUCCUA